UACGGAGGGUGCAAGCGUUAUUCGGAUUCACUGGGUUUAAAGGGUGCGUAGGCGGGCAGGUAAGUCAGUGGUGAAAUCUCCGGGCUUAACUCGGAAACUGCCAUUGAUACUAUCUGUCUUGAAUACCGUGGAGGUCAGCGGAAUAUGUCAUGUAGCGGUGAAAUGCUUAGAUAUGACAUAGAACACCAAUUGCGAAGGCAGCUGGCUACACGAAUAUUGACACUGAUGCACGAAAGCGUGGGGAUCAAACAGG
This 253-nucleotide ribosomal RNA is filed under the name uncultured bacterium. Its description in RNAcentral is "partial 16S ribosomal RNA". It matches the Rfam family "Bacterial small subunit ribosomal RNA", at positions 524 to 776 of the family's 1533-position model. The record is from RNAcentral.